CUUUUUACAGUUCCAUUGAAGAAGAUACUGUCGUUCGUGAUUAAGUCAGGAUAAAGAUCGAUUCACACUAUACGUAACGUCAACAUCACAUUGCCUACCGUCAACGUCACAUCAUCUACCGGCAACGUCACGUAAAGUUUUAGGUAGAUUGGCACUUCACGGAACGUCAACGUCACCGACCAGCAGUGUCACAUGGAUGUUGCUAUCUCUCUUUGCACCAAUCGCACACGUGUAUCUUUGUACAUCAACAUCAGUCCCGCGUUGUCGGUUUUCAUAUUUGUUUCUCAAUAGACAGGUCGAUCCCUAUUACAUUUUCUUGUUUGAAAUCAUGUCCAAAUUUACGAAAAGAAAAUUAGCGAUGAUCGCAUUAAUUUUGCAUGAGGAUUUCAUCAUAUUGACGUACUUGUUCAAUAGAGUUCGUCAUCCAUAAUGAAAAAUAUAAAAUUUAAAAUAAGCAAAAACCAUUUUGCAGAACACGUUCAACUCAGCACGUCCACACUUGCCUUGCCAUUCCUUCGUUCACACUUGUACAACCGGUAAGGCAACGUCACGUCAAAAUAUUCUUCUCGACGAAUCUAAACGUUCCGUCACGUUGCCGAUACGUGUCGUUACCUGUAUGUGUGAACGUUUACCUUUAAAAUUCAUUUUACAAUAUUUUGACGUGAUGUUGCCGGUAGGUGACGUGACGUUGGCGUUCCGUAUAGAAUCGAC
RNAcentral lists this long non-coding RNA (711 nucleotides) under Androctonus crassicauda. The record is from RNAcentral. Lineage: Eukaryota; Metazoa; Arthropoda; Arachnida; Scorpiones; Buthidae.